GACGAACGCUGGCGGCGUGCCUAAUACAUGCAAGUUGAGCGCUGAAGGUUGGUACUUGUACCAACUGGAUGAGCAGCGAACGGGUGAGUAACGCGUGGGGAAUCUGCCUUUGAGCGGGGGACAACAUUUGGAAACGAAUGCUAAUACCGCAUAAAAACUUUAAACACAAGUUUUAAGUUUGAAAGAUGCAAUUGCAUCACUCAAAGAUGAUCCCGCGUUGUAUUAGCUAGUUGGUGAGGUAAAGGCUCACCAAGGCGAUGAUACAUAGCCGACCUGAGAGGGUGAUCGGCCACAUUGGGACUGAGACACGGCCCAAACUCCUACGGGAGGCAGCAGUAGGGAAUCUUCGGCAAUGGACGAAAGUCUGACCGAGCAACGCCGCGUGAGUGAAGAAGGUUUUCGGAUCGUAAAACUCUGUUGGUAGCGAAGAACGUUGGUGAGAGUGGAAAGCUCAUCAAGUGACGGUAACUACCCAGAAAGGGACGGCUAACUACGUG
Molecule: ribosomal RNA, 497 nt
Filed under: uncultured bacterium
Lineage: Bacteria
Description: partial 16S ribosomal RNA
Rfam family: Bacterial small subunit ribosomal RNA
Source: RNAcentral